GCCUUCGUGGUGUAGUGGUCUGCAUGCUCGACACGUGACCAAGAGGUCCUCGGUUCGAUUCCCGGCGAAGGCG
RNAcentral lists this transfer RNA (73 nucleotides) under Stegodyphus mimosarum. It matches the Rfam family "tRNA". From Rfam's summary of the family: Transfer RNA (tRNA) molecules are approximately 80 nucleotides in length. Their secondary structure includes four short double-helical elements and three loops (D, anti-codon, and T loops). Further hydrogen bonds mediate the characteristic L-shaped molecular structure. tRNAs have two regions of fundamental functional importance: the anti-codon, which is responsible for specific mRNA codon recognition, and the 3' end, to which the tRNAs corresponding amino acid is attached (by aminoacyl-tRNA synthetases). tRNAs cope with the degeneracy of the genetic code in two manners: having more than one tRNA (with a specific anti-codon) for a particular amino acid; and 'wobble' base-pairing, i.e. permitting non-standard base-pairing at the 3rd anti-codon position. The record is from Rfam by way of RNAcentral. Lineage: Eukaryota; Metazoa; Arthropoda; Arachnida; Araneae; Eresidae.